UGGGAAGUAUAACCCUAGCCCACAUCUGAUCGAUCCAACGUCAACCCUUGAUUGCGUUCGCGACUUUGCGAUUUAUUCUUGCCAGCGCCGCUCCCCUUCCCUUCCUCUCUCUUCCCACAGCCGGAGGUGCUGCGCCUCUGCUCCCCCCAUCUUCUGCACCGCCGGCCUUUGAAGUUUAUCAUCCUUUUUCACGGGUGAGAAGGCGAUGGAUUCGGACGAGGGGAAGGUCUUUAUCGGAGGCAUCUCGUGGGAUACCUCGGAGGAAAAACUCAAGGAGCACUUCGGAGACUACGGGGAGGUCCUUGACGCCGUCAUCAUGAGGGACAAGAUCACUGGCCGGCCCAGGGGUUUUGGGUUCGUCGUAUUUGCAGAUCCCUCUAUCCUCGAUCGCGUACUUCAGGACAAGCACACCAUUGAUGGUCGCACCGUGGAAGCCAAAAGAGCUCUUUCAAGGGAAGAACAGCAAAUAUCUGGAAGAUCUGGAAAUCAAACUUCUGGAAGUGCCUUUGCUGGUAGGUCAACUGGAGCAAGUUCUGGUGCAAACAUAAGGACCAAGAAGAUAUUUGUUGGAGGUUUGCCUCCCAAUUUAACAGAGGAUGGGUUUCGUCAAUACUUUGAAUCAUAUGGUGCUGUGACUGAUGCAGUUGUGAUGUACGACCAAAACACUCAUCGCCCUCGAGGAUUUGGCUUCAUCUCUUUCGAAUCAGAGGAUACUGUUGAUAUAAUUCUUCAGAAAACUUUUCAUGAUCUGAAUGGAAAGGCUGUGGAAGUCAAGCGUGCCCUUCCAAAAGAUGCAAAUACGAAUAUUGGCAGUGGCCGAUCAUUGGGAAGUGGAUCUCAUCAAUCUUAUGGUGGUUCAACUGGUAAUGGUAGCUCUUAUGACAGUGGGGCAGAGGCUAAUAGAUACAUGCAACCUCAAGGAGCAGGCAACAGCCUUUCAGCAUAUGGUUCUACUGGAUAUGGCACACCUGGUUAUGGGUAUGGAGCUGCAAACAGUGGCAUUAGUUAUGCAGGGUAUGCAGUUGGCGGUUAUGGUGGUGGCGGUGCUGGGUACAGUGGACCUUCUGGUCCUUAUGGAAAUCCAACUGCUCCUAUGUCUGGUUAUAUAGGUGGUCCUCCAGGUACUCAAAGGAACCUAUGGAAUAAUCAGGCUUCUGCAGGUUAUGGUGGAGCUGCAACUUAUGGAUCCUCAUGGAAUGCCUCAGCAUCUAGCGGAGGAUCUAGUGCACCACCAUCAGGUCAAAGUGGAACUUCUGGAUAUAUGGGGCAGGGUUAUGGAUAUGGGGGCUAUGGAGGGUCAGAAGUCCCUUAUGGUAAUCAAGGUGGUGGUUAUGGGUCCUUUGGUGGCCGUGGUAGUGGUGGUCCUGUUAAUACUUCUGCAGGCAAUUCAGGGGAACAAGGAGCAGGUUCUGCUUACACAGGUGGAGGUUAUUCUAGUGCAAGCUCUGAUUAUACCAAUUCUUGGAGGCCAGACCCUGCACAAGCAGGGUUGUACGGAUCUUCUCAGGUGAAUGGACCUUCUGGUGGUCCAGCCAAUUAUGGAGCUAAUUAUGGCGGUGGUCAGGGUAGGCAAGCCCAGCAGCAGUAAAUGCAGGAGUUAUAUUUGGAAGGUCAUUUUUGGGCGCUUCUUGAGCUGUUGUGUUUGGCGUUUGGCGAAGAUAUAAAUUUAUCUUGGGCAUCGCAGCUCAUUCGCUUGUGAGCAACUGCACAGAAGCCUUUUACAGGGUGCAGGAGAUUUUACAGGAUGCAGGAGAAAAGCUUUGUUGUUUGAAGCCAGAACAUUUGUCGCUGAUGCGUUGGGCUUUCACCUUCUCAAAGACCUUGUGUGUGUUUGCAUUACUUGGUUAUAUCGACGCCAUUGUGCUUGCUGUGAUUGCUGAGAAUUAAUAGUGGUGGUAAGGUCCUGGACGAUAGAGGUCAAACUACCACUUGUGCAUUUUUCUGCAAUCUGCACACGGUGAAAUACUGCUUUAGAUGCUCACCAGGUUUAACAUAAUUGUUUUUUUUCGAAGCAAAUAAAUACAGAAAAUACUGAUUGCUGUACUCUUCUGAGUGUAUUAAGAAGACAUGGCUUCGUUCAUUUUUUCUGCAAAUAAACAAAUAUUUGUUUCUAUAA
RNA transcript from Zingiber officinale, 2116 nucleotides. It is a transcript of the gene named heterogeneous nuclear ribonucleoprotein 1-like, with no coding region annotated. The transcript has 3 exons. The record is from RefSeq and is a predicted model, not a curated record. NCBI's taxonomy places the organism in Eukaryota, Viridiplantae, Streptophyta, Magnoliopsida, Zingiberales, Zingiberaceae.